Oncorhynchus gorbuscha (pink salmon) is the source of this 244-nucleotide long non-coding RNA. RefSeq lists it as uncharacterized. The transcript is spliced from 3 exons. The record is from RefSeq and is a predicted model, not a curated record. Lineage: Eukaryota; Metazoa; Chordata; Actinopteri; Salmoniformes; Salmonidae.
AAAGUUCAUCAAGCUUUCCAUGACCUCCAGAUUUACCAACACGAGAAGCACGGUCUGCGGGUGGAUGGCAUCCCCAUGUUCAUCCCCAACGACCGCAGCAAGAAGAGGCUGAUCGAGGACACUCAGGAUUGGCAGCCCCGCACAGGCACUACCCAGUCCCACUCCUUCCACAUGCUGGCCCAGCUCACAGGCACCGACUACAUGCAGGACCCAGACGAUGAGACAAUGAAGAGGGCCAGGUAAA